RNAcentral lists this ribosomal RNA (253 nucleotides) under uncultured bacterium. RNAcentral's name for it is "partial 16S ribosomal RNA". It matches the Rfam family "Bacterial small subunit ribosomal RNA", at positions 524 to 776 of the family's 1533-position model. The record is from RNAcentral.
UACGAGGGGGGCGAGCGUUGUUCGGAAUCACUGGGCGUAAAGGGUGCGUAGGCGGGUCUUUAAGUCAGGGGUGAAAUCCUGGAGCUCAACUCCAGAACUGCCUUUGAUACUGAGGAUCUUGAGUUCGGGAGAGGUGAGUGGAACUGCGAGUGUAGAGGUGAAAUUCGUAGAUAUUCGCAAGAACACCAGUGGCUAAGGCGGCUCACUGGCCCGAUACUGACGCUGAGGCACGAAAGCGUGGGGAGCAAACAGG